UGAGUAACCUGCCCUUCACUUUGGGAUAACCCUCGGAAACGGGGGCUAAUACCGGAUAUGACAUUUCACCGCAUGGUGUGGGUGUGGAAAGUUUUUCGGUGGGGGAUGGGCUCGCGGCCUAUCAGCUUGUUGGUGGGGUGAUGGCCUACCAAGGCGACGACGGGUAGCCGGCCUGAGAGGGCGACCGGCCACACUGGGACUGAGACACGGCCCAGACUCCGUACGGGAGGCA
Molecule: ribosomal RNA, 232 nt
Filed under: uncultured bacterium
Lineage: Bacteria
Description: partial 16S ribosomal RNA
Rfam family: Bacterial small subunit ribosomal RNA
Source: RNAcentral